Molecule: long non-coding RNA, 277 nt
Organism: Xenia sp. Carnegie-2017
Lineage: Eukaryota; Metazoa; Cnidaria; Anthozoa; Malacalcyonacea; Xeniidae
Exons: 3
Source: RefSeq, a predicted model, not a curated record
GAAGUUAUCUUGUUGGAAAUCGGUUGGAUUCUUUGUUGGAAAUCGUUAUUCUCUCGCUAUUUGUUGAGGACAAACUUGUACUGCUACGCUAAAAGUCGGAUUAUUCGAAGGACUACACGUUGUUUGAAAUAAAGUGAAUCCAACAUAAAUUGGUCAUUGAAGUUUUUUUUCGACAUCUUACAUUUUUUAAGGUAAUUCCAUCACAUUGUUGUACUUUUCGUAUACUUUGUUUCAUUUUUUUAGUAAAUUAAUCUUAUUCCAGCAUAAAGUUCAAUAU